GACAGAGGUUGCAAGCGUUGUUCGGAAUCACUGGGCGUAAAGGGCGCGUAGGUUGUUAAAUAUGUCUGAUGUGAAAGCCCUUGGCUUAACUGAGGAAGUGCAUCAGAAACUAUUUGACUGGAGUGCAGAAGAGGAUGGCGGAAUUCCCGGAGUAGCGGUGAAAUGCAUAGAUACCGGGAGGAACACCUGAGGCGAAGGCGGCCAUCUGGUCUGUAACUGACGCUGAAGCGCGAAAGCACGGGUAGCAAACAGG
This 253-nucleotide ribosomal RNA is filed under the name uncultured bacterium. Its description in RNAcentral is "partial 16S ribosomal RNA". It matches the Rfam family "Bacterial small subunit ribosomal RNA", at positions 524 to 776 of the family's 1533-position model. The record is from RNAcentral.